Molecule: long non-coding RNA, 5044 nt
Organism: Apis cerana (Asiatic honeybee)
Lineage: Eukaryota; Metazoa; Arthropoda; Insecta; Hymenoptera; Apidae
Source: RefSeq, a predicted model, not a curated record
AUAAAAAUUUUUAAUUUUCUUAUUCUUCUUUUAUAUUUUUUUUAUAUUCUCGAUUAUUUUAAUCUCAUGUCAUGCAACGGUGGUAGGAGUUGUUGGGCCGAUGCUCUACUUCCGGUGGCCAGUUAAGGAUUCGCGCUCUGAUUAGUAUCUUCGAGUACUCAAUUAGAGUUAGGUCUUGUGGUAGAACGUCGUCUUUGUAAUCCUAUGGUGGUCAGGGAUUUAUGCCUUGCUCCUUCCUGUGUCGUUGGGACAUAAGGCGUUCAACUAUUAGGCCGUUGUCGUAACCCUCGAUUGGUCACUGGUGAGUAUCAUCCGUCCAGCGACUUUCGUCCACCGAUGUAAGUCGUGACAUGGGGGCGAUAGAGAAGGUUAAUUUUUUAAGUUUUUUCUUUUUUUUCAUCAAUCAUCGGACUUUAGAUGUUUUUUUAAUAUUUUUUAUUUUUUUGGAUCGCAUUUGAUACGUUUUUGAACAUUUGUAUUUUAAAUGCUCUUUAUAUUGUAAUUUUGUUUAUUAGUAAUGAUUAAUAUUUUUAAUUUUACUUUCUUCGCUUUAAAUUAGAUGAUAGUAUUUUUGAUACUUCUACAUUCUAUGUUAAUAGAAAUGUUAUAUAUAUUUUGGAUUUAGUAUUAACAUGUUAUUAUUUAGAUAAUUUAAGAUAACUUAAUAUCUCGAUGGACAAUAUGGGACAACGUGGGACAACAUAAGAUGACGAUGGACAACAUCAGACAACAUAAGAUGACGAUGGACAACAUCAGACAACAUAAGAUGACGAUGGACAACGGGGAACGACGUUGGACAAUGUAGGACAACUUGGAAUGACCUUGGAUGACGAUGGACAAAGCGAAAAAUUUUUAGGUGAGUCUCGAUGCAUAGUCACCUCCUCGUUGGUGAGACAUGGUAAUUGAUAUUGAUUUUUGUAUUAAUUGGAUUAAUCUUUGAAAAUUUUCUAAAAAUUAUUCUUUAAAAACGAUACCAAACUAAGAAUUACGGAGUGUCUACAGCUCAAUUUAAAUUAUUAAAUUCUUUUUGGAUAUUUUGGAUAUUUGAUAUUUUGAUAUUUCGUCUAGAUUGAGCUAUAGGUAGUAUUAGUAGUAUAGGUAGUAUAGGUAGUAUUAUUUUUGAUAUUUUGCAAAAUAUCAAAAUCAAAUUUAUAUUUUUAUUUAUUUGUUUUACAUUUAAGAUUUUUAAUUUAUUUUUAUUUCAUAUAAUUGUUUUUAUAUUUAAUUCUUUUCAGAUUCUUUUUUUUCAGGUUCUUUUUUUCAGAUUUAAUUUAUUCUUACAUUAAAUUAUUUCAUGCAUAUUUAAUAUGUAAUAUAUAUAAUAUAUGUAAUAUUUGCAGUUCAAUUUAAACAUUCCAUUUAAUUAUCUUGAUCAAUUGUUGAUAUACAUUGUUGAUAUAGUUGAUAUAUAUUGUUGAUAUGGAUAUAGUAUAAUAUGGACAUAUAGUAUAUAUAGACUGCAAAUACAAAUAAAAUCUGUAUCAAGAUAUUCUCGUUUUUAUUUUAUUCUUCAACAAUGUAAGUACUAAGUAAGUAUGAACAUAAAUUUUUUGAAGCAACUAAUAAAAUAUCCCCGAUUAAGUUGCAAGUUGUAUUUACUGUACGCAUUUCGUAUCAAAAUAUUCUCCCUAACUUAAAGCGAAAACAAAAUUAUUUUACUUAUUCCCAAAUGAUUUCUUUUCUUGCCAUUCCAUCACAAAUUCCCAUUUAUAUUUAAAGUAUUCGUUUAUUUCUUCUAGAAUAUAUUCCUUUUUAUUUAUUAUUUUAAGAUGUUUGCAAAUUUUUCGUCGCUUUUUCUAAAUCACUGUCAAUCACAAUAUUGCACUGUCAUGCAAUAGUGGCAGGACUUCCAUCGAUUUUCGUAAGUUCAUUGAUGUAAGUCGUUUAGGGGCGACAGAAAAAGUUGAUUUUUUAUCGAUCGUAAGUUCUUCUUCUAAUGCUUAUUAUUUUUUUGGUCUGUAUUUACUUGCUUUUGACUUCUUUUUUUUUUUUUUUAAAUUUUAUUUAUUAUAAAUGAUUUAGUAUAAAUGAUUUUGAAUUUUUCUUUUUUUCGCUUUAAGUUAAACGAGAAUAUUUCUGAUACGAAUAAUAUUAAUAAAAUUGUUAUGUAUUGUAAAUUAUAGGUUUAAGAUUUUAAAAUAUAGUUUAAGUUAGUUUUAAGGUAUCAUCGUUGGACAACGUGGAAUUAAUUAGCGAGCGAAUAUAAAAAACUUUUGUAAAAAUCGUUGUAAAGAUCCAUUAAUAAAUAAUCAAAUAAUUAUGUCAUUUCAUAAUGUAUUUAUAAUUAAUAAAUAUUUCUUUUAUAUUUCUUUUCAUCUAUUUAUUGUUUUUAAUUAAUCUUUUAUAUUUUAUUUGUUAUUUUUUUAUAUUUAAUUUAUUUGAAUUAAUCAUUAAUUUUAAUGUUUUUUUUUAUUUUUUAGGUUUAGGUGGGUCUCGAUGCGUAGUCACCUCCUCGUCGGUGAGACUCGGUAAUUGGCAUCGCUUUCAAAAAUCUUAUAUCACAAAAUUUAUUUCAUUAAAAAGUUUUCGAAAUAUUUUAAAUCUGUAAAUAUCAAAUACAUUUCAUCAAUGAUAGUGUGUGGAAAGCGAUGGCAAGCCAAGAACUACGCACAUCUGCAGUCCAGUAUAAACUUUGUAUAAUAAUUAUUUAAUUAUUUUGAUUUUAAUUUUUAAUUAAUUAAACUGGACUGCAGAUAUUAGUUAUAAGUUAAUGUAUUAUUACAAUAAAUUUAAUCUAAUUUAUAUAAGUGUAUUAUAAGUGCGUUUUCCGUAUCGAGAUAUACUUUCUAAUUUAAAGCGAAAACUAAAAACUAAAUUUUUAAUUCUCUUUCUUUACUUCCCUUUUAUAUUCUCGCUUUUCGUUUUCAUUAUUUUUCAUCUCGGGUUUUUAUUUAAAUAAUUAUUCGCUUUUCACUUUCUUCCUCAAUUUAUCCUUUUAAUUAUUUUAUAUUUUCUUUUUUUCUUUUCUCGCGUAUUUUAAUCUCAUGUCAUGCAACAGUGGUAGAAAUCGUUGGGCCGGUGCUCUACUUCCGGUGGCCAGUUAAGGGUCCGCGUUCUAAUCGAUUGGUAUCUUCGAGUACUCGAUUAGAAUUAGGUCUUGUGGUGGAACGUCGUCUUUGUAAUCCGGCUCCGGUGGUCAGGGAUUUAUGCCUUGCUCCUUCCUGUGUCGUUGGGACAUAAGACGUUCAACUAUUAGGCCGUUGUCGUAACCCUCGAUUGGUCACUGGUGAGUAUCAUCUGUCCAUCGAUUUUCGUAAAUCCAUUGAUGUAAGUCGUGAUAUGAGAGCGAUAGAGAUGGUCGAUUUUCCAUCGAUCUUAGAUUCUUCUUCUAAUGCUUAUUAUUUUCUUGGCCUGCAUUUAAUCGCUUUUUGAACUUUUUGAGUUCUCUCUUUUUUUAUUAAAGUUUUGUUUAGUAUAAAUGAUUAGCAUUUUCUUCUUCAAUUGUAUCCUUUCGGAUAUUUUAUAUUUUCUUCUUCUCUUUUGUUGCUUAUUUCAAGUCAAUCUUAUGUCAUGUAACGGUGGAAUCGUUGAGCUGGUGCUCGGUUCCGAUGGCCAGUUAAGGGUCAGCGUUCUGAUCGAUUAGUAUCUUCGAGUACUCGAUUAGAGUUAGGUCUUGUGGUGGAACGUCGUAUUUGUAAUUCGGCUAUGGUGGUCAGGGAUUUAUGCCUUGUUCCUUCCUGUGUCGUUGGGACAUAAGGCGUUUAACUAUAAGGCCAUUGUCGUAACCCUUGAUUGGUCAUUACUGGCAAAUAUCAUCUGUCUGAUGUUACAUCGAUUUUCGUAAGUUGAUGUAAGUCGUGAUAUGAGAGUAACGGAAAGAAUUGAUUUUUUAUCGAUCUUCGGUUCUUCUUUUAAUGUUCUUCUUCUAAAAUUAUUAUUUUCUUGGCCUAUAUUUAUUUGCUUUUUGAACAUUUUGAUUUCUCUCUAUUUUUAUUGAAGUUUUACUUAUUGUAAGUGAUUUUGAAUAUUUCUAGUAUAAAUAAUUUUGAAUAUUUCUUUUUUUCGCAUUAAAUUAGAUGGGAGUAUUCUUGAUACGGAUAAUAUUAAUAAAAUUGUUAUGUAUUGUAAAUUAUAGAUUUAAGAUUUUAAAAUAUAGUUUAAGUUAGUUUUAAGCUAUCAUCGUUGGACAACGUGGGAUUAAUUAGCGAGCGAAUGUAAAAAACUUUUGUAAAAAUCGUUGUAAAGAUCCAUUAAUUCAAAUAAUUAUGUUAUUUCAUAAUGUUUUAAAUUUAUAAUUAAUGAAUAUUUCUUUUAAUCUAUUCAUGUAUGUACUUUUUCUUUUAUCUACUUAUGUAUAUUAUCUUUAAUCUACUUAUGUAUAUUUUAUAUUAUUAUGUAUUAUUUUAUUAUGUAUUUUAUUAUUAAUUAAUCUUUUUUAUUUUGUAUUUUAUAUUUAAUUUAUUUGAAUUAAUCAUUAAUUUUUAUGUUUUUUUUAUUUUUUAUUUUUUAGGUUUAGGUGGGUCUCGAUGCGUAGUCACCUCCUCGUCGGUGAGACCUGGUAAUUGGCAUCGCUUUCCAAAAUUUUACUUCAUUCACAAAAUUUAUUUCAUUAUUCAAGUUUUCGAAAUAUUUUAAAUCUAAAAAUAUCAAAUAUAUUUUAUCAAUGAUAAUGUUUGGAAAGCGAUGACAAGCUAAGAACUACGCACAUCUGCAGUCCAGUAUAAACUUUGUAUAAUUCAUUUAAUUAUUUUGACUUUUAAUUUUUAAUUAAUUAAACUGGACUGCAGAUAUUAUUUAUAAAUUAAUAUAUUCGAGAGUAUUCUUGAUAUGGAUAUUGCAAAUACAUUUUAAACCUAGUUAUUAAGAUUUUAAAUUAAUUUAAAUUAAAUUAAUUUAAAAGUUCGUCGAUGGACGAUGUGAGACAACAAUGGACAACAUUUUAGAUUUUAAUUUUUUAUUAUAAUUUACUAUAUUAAGUUGAAUUACGAUAAUUCUAAUGAUCUAUUGUUAAUAUUGUAUAAUUUAUUGUAAAUAAUUUUUAUUUUAAUUCUUCUUUUUAGGUUAUAUGUCAAUAUGUCUCUAAUAUAUUUAAACUUUAUAUUAA